AGAGUUUGAUCCUGGCUCAGGACGAACGCUGGCGGCGUGCCUAAUACAUGCAAGUCGAACGAACUCUGGUAUUGAUUGGUGCUUGCAUCAUGAUUUACAUUUGAGUGAGUGGCGAACUGGUGAGUAACACGUGGGAAACCUGCCCAGAAGCGGGGGAUAACACCUGGAAACAGAUGCUAAUACCGCAUAACAACUUGGACCGCAUGGUCCGAGCUUGAAAGAUGGCUUCGGCUAUCACUUUUGGAUGGUCCCGCGGCGUAUUAGCUAGAUGGUGGGGUAACGGCUCACCAUGGCAAUGAUACGUAGCCGACCUGAGAGGGUAAUCGGCCACAUUGGGACUGAGACACGGCCCAAACUCCUACGGGAGGCAGCAGUAGGGAAUCUUCCACAAUGGACGAAAGUCUGAUGGAGCAACGCCGCGUGAGUGAAGAAGGGUUUCGGCUCGUAAAACUCUGUUGUUAAAGAAGAACAUAUCUGAGAGUAACUGUUCAGGUAUUGACGGUAUUUAACCAGAAAGCCACGGCUAACUACGUGCCAGCAGCCGCGGUAAUACGUAGGUGGCAAGCGUUGUCCGGAUUUAUUGGGCGUAAAGCGAGCGCAGGCGGUUUUUUAAGUCUGAUGUGAAAGCCUUCGGCUCAACCGAAGAAGUGCAUCGGAAACUGGGAAACUUGAGUGCAGAAGAGGACAGUGGAACUCCAUGUGUAGCGGUGAAAUGCGUAGAUAUAUGGAAGAACACCAGUGGCGAAGGCGGCUGUCUGGUCUGUAACUGACGCUGAGGCUCGAAAGUAUGGGUAGCAAACAGGAUUAGAUACCCUGGUAGUCCAUACCGUAAACGAUGAAUGCUAAGUGUUGGAGGGUUUCCGCCCUUCAGUGCUGCAGCUAACGCAUUAAGCAUUCCGCCUGGGGAGUACGGCCGCAAGGCUGAAACUCAAAGGAAUUGACGGGGCCCGCACAAGCGGUGGAGCAUGUGGUUUAAUUCGAAGCUACGCGAAGAACCUUACCAGGUCUUGACAUACUAUGCAAAUCUAAGAGAUUAGACGUUCCCUUCGGGACAUGGAUACAGGUGGUGCAUGGUUGUCGUCAGCUCGUGUCGUGAGAUGUUGGGUUAAGUCCCGCAACGAGCGCAACCCUUAUUAUCAGUUGCCAGCAUUAAGUUGGGCACUCUGGUGAGACUGCCGGUGACAAACCGGAGGAAGGUGGGGAUGACGUCAAAUCAUCAUGCCCCUUAUGACCUGGGCUACACACGUGCUACAAUGGAUGGUACAACGAGUUGCGAACUCGCGAGAGUAAGCUAAUCUCUUAAAGCCAUUCUCAGUUCGGAUUGUAGGCUGCAACUCGCCUACAUGAAGUCGGAAUCGCUAGUAAUCGCGGAUCAGCAUGCCGCGGUGAAUACGUUCCCGGGCCUUGUACACACCGCCCGUCACACCAUGAGAGUUUGUAACACCCAAAGUCGGUGGGGUAACCUUUUAGGAACCAGCCGCCUAAGGUGGACAGAUGAUUAGGGUGAAGUCGUAACAAGGUAGCCGUAGGAGAACCUGCGGCUGGAUCACCU
RNAcentral lists this ribosomal RNA (1552 nucleotides) under Lactiplantibacillus plantarum subsp. plantarum. RNAcentral's name for it is "Lactobacillus plantarum subsp. plantarum 16S ribosomal RNA". It matches the Rfam family "Bacterial small subunit ribosomal RNA". The record is from RNAcentral. Lineage: Bacteria; Bacillati; Bacillota; Bacilli; Lactobacillales; Lactobacillaceae.